CCACUCCCGCCCCCAAUGCAGAGCUUCCAAGGAAACCAGUUCCAGGGGGAAUGGUUUGUCCUGGGCCUGGCGGGCAACAGCUUCAGGCCGGAGCACAGGGCGCUGCUGAACCCUUUCACCGCAACUUUCGAGCUAAGUGACGCUGGUGGCUUUGAGGUGUGGAAUGCCAUGACUCGAGGCCAGCACUGUGACACGUGGUCUUAUGUGCUGAUACCAGCAGCCCAGCCCGGGCAGUUCACUGUGGACCAUGGUGUGGACACACGAGCAGGCUGGCCAUCCUCAGGAUCAGCCUGCUGGGCAGGAGCUGGUUGCUGCCUCCCGGGACGCUGGACCAGUUCAUCUGCCUGGGCAGAGCUCAGGGCCUCUCGGAUGACAACAUUGUCUUCCCAGAUGUGACCGGAGGUGCCCUGGACCUUAGCAGCCUGCCCUGGGUGGCAGCCCCAGCCUUACUACUCAGAGAGCCCCGGCCCCCAAGGCCUGACUCUUCUUGUGGGAGGGCGAGGCUGGUCACCCCAGGCCAGUGUCUGUUGAAGGAUGAAGCAGCUCCUGUCCGGCCCAGCCCUGCCUCACAGCUGCGCGAGCUCUGCCCUCCUCAGCUCUCAAACCUGAAUAAAUGCACCAAGCCCAGA
RNAcentral lists this small RNA (629 nucleotides) under Pongo abelii (Sumatran orangutan). RNAcentral describes it as "processed transcript". The record is from RNAcentral. Lineage: Eukaryota; Metazoa; Chordata; Mammalia; Primates; Hominidae.